CGGAGACCGAGGGGAAACGAGCCCGAGCCGAGCCCAGCCCGAGCAGAUCCGAACCUAAACCGAAAAGAGCCCGAGCCGAACACGAGCCCGAACCGAAACGAGCCCGAGCGGGGCCGAGCCCGAGCCCGCCCUUCCCCUCAGCCCCGCUGCACACAUUCGGUUUGCGUUGCUUUAGUUUGUCGUUGCUUUUUUGCCAGCAUUGAUUUCUUUGGUUUUGAAUUUGUUUUUCACAGAAAACACCCCAAACAACUCAGGACUUCACUGAGACGUGCUACAGGGUCUACAAGAUGUACUUUUUUAUUAGCGCCACUGCAUUACACAGCCUGAGGGGACACUGACUGCGCCCACCCUGAGGAAAGCAGAGUUUUGGCAGCUGCUAGAGACUGCACAGGAUAACAGGAGUACAAUAAACAUACCUCAGGAUGCAGUCACAAAAUGAC
Passer domesticus (house sparrow) is the source of this 440-nucleotide long non-coding RNA. RefSeq lists it as uncharacterized. Lineage: Eukaryota; Metazoa; Chordata; Aves; Passeriformes; Passeridae. The transcript has 2 exons. The record is from RefSeq and is a predicted model, not a curated record.